This 203-nucleotide small nuclear RNA is filed under the name Mesocricetus auratus (golden hamster). RNAcentral describes it as "7SK RNA". It matches the Rfam family "7SK RNA". Rfam says of the family: 7SK was discovered as an abundant small nuclear RNA in the mid-70s but a possible function has only recently been suggested. Two independent studies have found that 7SK RNA binds the CDK9/cyclin T complex (known as elongation factor P-TEFb). The record is from Rfam by way of RNAcentral. Lineage: Eukaryota; Metazoa; Chordata; Mammalia; Rodentia; Cricetidae.
AGGCUUUGUGUGUCCCUCCUGAGGCUGCACACUCAGUCAUGGAGGAUGAUUUCACUGAAUAAAUGAGGACUGAUCUUCAGUCCAAGGUCUAGGAGAAGCUGAAUUCCUCUGCUAGGACCUCCCAACAAGCUCUCAGGGCUGUUAUGCAAACCACCAUGCUCACAUAAACCUCGGCUAAAAUUGUCCACAAAUUGCCUCAAGGU